RNAcentral lists this non-coding RNA (23 nucleotides) under Rattus norvegicus (Norway rat). Lineage: Eukaryota; Metazoa; Chordata; Mammalia; Rodentia; Muridae. The record is from RNAcentral.
CGUAGUGCCGCCCUUGGUCAUGG